CGUAGGGUGCGAGCGUUAAUCGGAAUUACUGGGCGUAAAGCGUGCGCAGGCGGUUUGUAAGACAGAGGUGAAAUCCCCGGGCUCAACCUGGGAACUGCCUUUGUGACUGCAAGGCUUGAGUGUGGCAGAGGGGGAUGGAAUUCCGCGUGUAGCAGUGAAAUGCGUAGAUAUGCGGAGGAACACCGAUGGCGAAGGCAAUCCCCUGGGCCUGCACUGACGCUCAUGCACGAAAGCGUGGGGAGCAAACAGGAUUAGAUACCCUGGUAGUCCACGCCCUAAACGAUGUCAACUGGUUGUUGGGUCUUUACUGACUCAGUAACGAAGCUAACGCGUGAAGUUGACCGCCUGGGGAGUACGGCCGCAAGGUUG
Molecule: ribosomal RNA, 369 nt
Filed under: uncultured organism
Description: bacterial SSU rRNA
Rfam family: Bacterial small subunit ribosomal RNA
Source: RNAcentral